Molecule: ribosomal RNA, 162 nt
Filed under: Calyptranthes lucida
Lineage: Eukaryota; Viridiplantae; Streptophyta; Magnoliopsida; Myrtales; Myrtaceae
Also listed under: 2 other names
Description: 5.8S ribosomal RNA
Rfam family: 5.8S ribosomal RNA
About the family: 5.8S ribosomal RNA (5.8S rRNA) is a component of the large subunit of the eukaryotic ribosome. It is transcribed by RNA polymerase I as part of the 45S precursor that also contains 18S and 28S rRNA. Functionally, it is thought that 5.8S rRNA may be involved in ribosome translocation.
Source: RNAcentral
CAUAACGACUCUCGGCAACGGAUAUCUCGGCUCUCGCAUCGAUGAAGAACGUAGCGAACUGCGAUACUUGGUGUGAAUUGCAGAAUCCCGUGAACCAUCGAGUCUUUGAACGCAAGUUGCGCCUGAAUCCAUUUGGACGAGGGCACGUUUGCCUGGGUGUCA